AUUAAUAAUAAAAGAAAAAUGGGAACAUGUAUAAGGUUUAGCGUUUCAAUAUUAAUAUAUAACAUUAAUAGUAUUUAAACUGAGUGCGGGUACUAAGACCGCCCACUGCGUAAAAUAUUAACCAAUUAACAGCUUACCUCAUAGGAUUCCCUGGGACCAGCCACUGCACCAAAUCUUAACAAAUUAGCAGUCAAGAUAGGCGGAGCUCUAAGCUUUCCUAUGCUAGGGGAUCUCAUUCUCCGGUUGGUGGCUGAACGUGCAGGAUAUCUCUCCAGCUAGGCGCUGAGAAACGGAGCUAAACACUAUAAAUUUGAGAGUUUGCGAUUGGGAGUGACCUCUGGAGGAGGUGCAGACGAUAGAGGAAAAUCAGCUGACCAGAGCGACACACGGAGUGAGGCUGCUGACGUCAGUGUGUGCAGCGUCUGCUCUCCUUUAAGGCCAGUGCGGCCUAUCCACAAAUUCUCUCCACUUGUAUUCUAAGUAUAUGCAUAUAGUUUAUAUUUAAUAUUGAGAUUGAUGAGUGAGGUAUAUAGAUGUCACCAUUAGGUGAUAAAUAGAUGUUUGUUUGCUGCACACAGGAAUAAAUUUGGGGAUAGUUGGGCCUUGGUCGGAGCAUGUGAGUUUUGAUUCCUUUGAAGUUGGCAAAUUUAUUUUAUUUUUAUUAACUGUGGUAAAGGGCAGCUUAGAAAAUAAAUAAAAAAUUAAGGAUACGAGAGAAGAAAUUUAAAUAGCUUUCAGUGAUUUUAGUCUUAAUAAUUAGAUCUAAUUUAAAGGGAAUACAAGCGAAUCAUUGCAAUGUCAAAAAAGGACACCAAAAUGUCAAAAGUGAUUACUCC
This is a long non-coding RNA of Pygocentrus nattereri (red-bellied piranha), 836 nucleotides long. NCBI's taxonomy places the organism in Eukaryota, Metazoa, Chordata, Actinopteri, Characiformes, Serrasalmidae. The record is from Ensembl.